GAAUCUAUCCGUUGGUCGGGCUUUACUGUCUAUACUGGUGUGAUGAGUUCUUACCUUCUGAAUAAUCAGCAUGCCAUUCACUUGGUGCGCUGGGGAAGCAGGACUAUUAUUACCUUGAAAAAUUAGAGUGCUCAAAGCAGGCUAGUGCCUGAAUACAUUAGCAUGGAAUAAUAAAAUAGGACGGCAUAGUUCUAUUUUGUUGGUUUCUAGGAUCACCAUA
RNAcentral lists this ribosomal RNA (220 nucleotides) under uncultured fungus. Its description in RNAcentral is "partial 18S ribosomal RNA". The record is from RNAcentral. Lineage: Eukaryota; Fungi.